This 460-nucleotide ribosomal RNA is filed under the name uncultured bacterium. RNAcentral's name for it is "partial 16S ribosomal RNA". It matches the Rfam family "Bacterial small subunit ribosomal RNA", at positions 338 to 795 of the family's 1533-position model. The record is from RNAcentral.
CCUACGGGGGGCAGCAGUGAGGAAUAUUGGUCAAUGGACGAGAGUCUGAACCAGCCAAGUAGCGUGAAGGAUGACUGCCCUAUGGGUUGUAAACUUCUUUUAUAUGGGAAUAAAAUGUUCCACGUGUGGGAUUUUGUAUGUACCAUAUGAAUAAGGAUCGGCUAACUCCGUGCCAGCAGCCGCGGUAAUACGGAGGAUCCGAGCGUUAUCCGGAUUUAUUGGGUUUAAAGGGAGCGUAGGUGGAUUGUUAAGUCAGUUGUGAAAGUUUGCGGCUCAACCGUAAAAUUGCAGUUCAAACUGGCAGUCUUGAGUACAGUAGAGGUGGGCGGAAUUCGUGGUGUAGCGGUGAAAUGCUUAGAUAUCACGAAGAACUCCGAUUGCGAAGGCAGUUCACUGGACUGCAACUGACACUGAGGCUCGAAAGUGUGGGUAUCAAACAGGAUUAGAUACCCGAGUAGUC